ACGAGCUGAGGCAUCUGGGUCCACCUCCCACCCGUGUUUAUUUUACCUUGUUGCUUCGGCGGGCCCGCCUUAACUGGCCGCCGGGGGGCUUACGCCCCCGGGCCCGCGCCCGCCGAAGACACCCUCGAACUCUGUCUGAAGAUUGAAGUCUGAGUGAAAAUAUAAAUUAUUUAAAACUUUCAACAACGGAUCUCUUGGUUCCGGCAUCGAUGAAGAACGCAGCGAAAUGCGAUACGUAAUGUGAAUUGCAAAUUCAGUGAAUCAUCGAGUCUUUGAACGCACAUUGCGCCCCCUGGUAUUCCGGGGGGCAUGCCUGUCCGAGCGUCAUUGCUGCCCUCAAGCCCGGCUUGUGUGUUGGGCCCCGUCCCCCGAUCUCCGGGGGACGGGCCCGAAAGGCAGCGGCGGCACCGCGUCCGGUCCUCGAGCGUAUGGGGCUUUGUCACCCGCUCUGUAGGCCCGGCCGGCGCUUGCCGAUCAACCCAAAUUUUUAUCCAGGUUGACCUCGGAUCAGGUAGGGAUACCCGCUGAACUUAAGCAUAUC
This 541-nucleotide ribosomal RNA is filed under the name Penicillium crustosum. RNAcentral's name for it is "eukaryotic LSU rRNA". The stretch from base 175 to 327 matches the Rfam family "5.8S ribosomal RNA". Lineage: Eukaryota; Fungi; Ascomycota; Eurotiomycetes; Eurotiales; Aspergillaceae. The record is from RNAcentral.